Molecule: long non-coding RNA, 270 nt
Filed under: Elaeis guineensis (African oil palm)
Lineage: Eukaryota; Viridiplantae; Streptophyta; Magnoliopsida; Arecales; Arecaceae
Description: long non-coding RNA (EGUI_LNC024566)
Source: RNAcentral
GGAUCGAUUGUUAGAGUUCUAUUGGUUUGCAUUCUAGAUCUCAUCGAGAUGGCCCUUGAUGUCUCAAACUUUUCACUCAAGAUUCACUUCCCAAUAGGACCUUCCAGGCCAUAGGGAAUAAUCUAGAGUCGAAUCUUCAUUAGAGAAAAAGGGGGUCACCGCUGUCGGUCUUCCUUAGGCUUUGAUGGGAAGGCAACCAGUCGGGAGUGGAAGCAAGAGCGGGAGCAGAGUGGAGGGUUUGUGAGGGGCUGAUUAUGGGCUCUUGGGGCA